Molecule: unclassified non-coding RNA, 214 nt
Filed under: Hevea brasiliensis (rubber tree)
Lineage: Eukaryota; Viridiplantae; Streptophyta; Magnoliopsida; Malpighiales; Euphorbiaceae
Source: RNAcentral
AGUUCAAAACGAAAAGCUGGUAAUAGUAUCUUGAGUGCUCCAAAUCUAUUCACGUCCUCAUUUAAGGUACCUAAAUUAAAAAUGUCAUCUCCCUGUGUGACAUGACCUCUGUCACCAGAAAUUCGGCUUGUAUCUAUAUUAGAUGAUAGAUUUUCGGUACAUAUGUUCAUUUAUUGGAUCUUGGUUCUUCAAGCUAUGUGACAGUAAAUUUCAG